AAUCUGGACCGGGCAUAACCAAAUCAAAUGAGUAAACGAGCCCACAAGCUGAAUUUGUUCCGGUCAGGGAAGCUCCAGCCUUUUCCGCCACACCACAGCUGACAUGUUCGUUUUAUGUGUUUUCUAUGCAAAAUCCCAUCCUAGCAAAAAGACAACUGUCGGGGCAUGGACUGUUCCCGUUAUGGUAAUUGAGUGUUGGACAACGCAUAAAAUGCAGUCGGAGACCAUAAAUAUGUUUGCACUCCAGCAAACGAAAGCACGGCGUGCGUGCAGGGUGUGUGUGCCAUUUUUUUGACCGCUACAAAUAUGUUUGAUAUUUUUUAUUGAAUCCCGUUGUCUUACCUCCCCACCCACUCCCCCUGCCAUCCACACCCUCCGCACAGGAAGUUGUUGCCGUCUGUGUCUGUGUCUG
Molecule: long non-coding RNA, 412 nt
Filed under: Drosophila guanche
Lineage: Eukaryota; Metazoa; Arthropoda; Insecta; Diptera; Drosophilidae
Source: RNAcentral